GAGUUUGAUCGUGGCUCAGGAUGAACGCUGGCGGCGUGCUUAACACAUGCAAGUCGAACGGAGAGCUCAUGACAGAGGAUUCGUCCAAUGGAUUGAGUUUCUUAGUGGCGGACGGGUGAGUAACGCGUGAGGAACCUGCCUCGGAGUGGGGAAUAACAGUCCGAAAGGACUGCUAAUACCGCAUAAUGCAGUUGUGUCGCAUGACACUGACUGCCAAAGAUUUAUCGCUCUGAGAUGGCCUCGCGUCUGAUUAGCUAGUUGGCGGGGUAAC
This 271-nucleotide ribosomal RNA is filed under the name uncultured bacterium. RNAcentral's name for it is "partial 16S ribosomal RNA". It matches the Rfam family "Bacterial small subunit ribosomal RNA", at positions 9 to 261 of the family's 1533-position model. The record is from RNAcentral.